UUAAGUUAUUAAGGGCGCACGGUGGAUGCCUUGGCACUAGAAGCCGAUGAAGGACGUUACUAACGACGAUAUGCUUUGGGGAGCUGUAAGUAAGCUUUGAUCCAGAGAUUUCCGAAUGGGGAAACCCAGCAUGAGUUAUGUCAUGUUAUCGAUAUGUGAAUACAUAGCAUAUCAGAAGGCACACCCGGAGAACUGAAACAUCUUAGUACCCGGAGGAAGAAAAAGAAAAUUCGAUUCCCUUAGUAGCGGCGAGCGAAACGGGAAGAGCCCAAACCAACAAGCUUGCUUGUUGGGGUUGUAGGACACUCUAUACGGAGUUACAAAGGACGACAUUAGACGAAUCAUCUGGAAAGAUGAAUCAAAGAAGGUAAUAAUCCUGUAGUCGAAAAUGUUGUCUCUCUUGAGUGGAUCCUGAGUACGACGGAACACGUGAAAUUCCGUCGGAAUCUGGGAGGACCAUCUCCUAAGGCUAAAUACUCUCUAGUGACCGAUAGUGAACCAGUACCGUGAGGGAAAGGUGAAAAGCACCCCGGAAGGGGAGUGAAAUAGAACCUGAAACCGUGUGCUUACAAGUAGUCAGAGCCCGUUAAUGGGUGAUGGCGUGCCUUUUGUAGAAUGAACCGGCGAGUUACGAUUUGAUGCAAGGUUAAGCAGUAAAUGUGGAGCCGUAGCGAAAGCGAGUCUGAAUAGGGCGUUUAGUAUUUGGUCGUAGACCCGAAACCAGGUGAUCUACCCUUGGUCAGGUUGAAGUUCAGGUAACACUGAAUGGAGGACCGAACCGACUUACGUUGAAAAGUGAGCGGAUGAACUGAGGGUAGCGGAGAAAUUCCAAUCGAACCUGGAGAUAGCUGGUUCUCUCCGAAAUAGCUUUAGGGCUAGCCUCAAGUGAUGAUUAUUGGAGGUAGAGCACUGUUUGGACGAGGGGCCCCUCUCGGGUUACCGAAUUCAGACAAACUCCGAAUGCCAAUUAAUUUAACUUGGGAGUCAGAACAUGGGUGAUAAGGUCCGUGUUCGAAAGGGAAACAGCCCAGACCACCAGCUAAGGUCCCAAAAUAUAUGUUAAGUGGAAAAGGAUGUGGCGUUGCCCAGACAACUAGGAUGUUGGCUUAGAAGCAGCCAUCAUUUAAAGAGUGCGUAAUAGCUCACUAGUCGAGUGACACUGCGCCGAAAAUGUACCGGGGCUAAACAUAUUACCGAAGCUGUGGAUUGUCCUUUGGACAAUGGUAGGAGAGCGUUCUAAGGGCGUUGAAGCAUGAUCGUAAGGACAUGUGGAGCGCUUAGAAGUGAGAAUGCCGGUGUGAGUAGCGAAAGACGGGUGAGAAUCCCGUCCACCGAUUGACUAAGGUUUCCAGAGGAAGGCUCGUCCGCUCUGGGUUAGUCGGGUCCUAAGCUGAGGCCGACAGGCGUAGGCGAUGGAUAACAGGUUGAUAUUCCUGUACCACCUAUAAUCGUUUUAAUCGAUGGGGGGACGCAGUAGGAUAGGCGAAGCGUGCGAUUGGAUUGCACGUCUAAGCAGUAAGGCUGAGUAUUAGGCAAAUCCGGUACUCGUUAAGGCUGAGCUGUGAUGGGGAGAAGACAUUGAGUCUUCGAGUCGUUGAUUUCACACUGCCGAGAAAAGCCUCUAGAUAGAAAAUAGGUGCCCGUACCGCAAACCGACACAGGUAGUCAAGAUGAGAAUUCUAAGGUGAGCGAGCGAACUCUCGUUAAGGAACUCGGCAAAAUGACCCCGUAACUUCGGGAGAAGGGGUGCUCUUUAGGGUUAACGCCCAGAAGAGCCGCAGUGAAUAGGCCCAAGCGACUGUUUAUCAAAAACACAGGUCUCUGCUAAACCGUAAGGUGAUGUAUAGGGGCUGACGCCUGCCCGGUGCUGGAAGGUUAAGAGGAGUGGUUAGCUUCUGCGAAGCUACGAAUCGAAGCCCCAGUAAACGGCGGCCGUAACUAUAACGGUCCUAAGGUAGCGAAAUUCCUUGUCGGGUAAGUUCCGACCCGCACGAAAGGCGUAACGAUUUGGGCACUGUCUCAACGAGAGACUCGGUGAAAUCAUAGUACCUGUGAAGAUGCAGGUUACCCGCGACAGGACGGAAAGACCCCGUAGAGCUUUACUGUAGCCUGAUAUUGAAAUUCGGCACAGCUUGUACAGGAUAGGUAGGAGCCUUUGAAACGUGAGCGCUAGCUUACGUGGAGGCGCUGGUGGGAUACUACCCUAGCUGUGUUGGCUUUCUAACCCGCACCACUUAUCGUGGUGGGAGACAGUGUCAGGCGGGCAGUUUGACUGGGGCGGUCGCCUCCUAAAAGGUAACGGAGGCGCUCAAAGGUUCCCUCAGAAUGGUUGGAAAUCAUUCAUAGAGUGUAAAGGCAUAAGGGAGCUUGACUGCGAGACCUACAAGUCGAGCAGGGUCGAAAGACGGACUUAGUGAUCCGGUGGUUCCGCAUGGAAGGGCCAUCGCUCAACGGAUAAAAGCUACCCCGGGGAUAACAGGCUUAUCUCCCCCAAGAGUUCACAUCGACGGGGAGGUUUGGCACCUCGAUGUCGGCUCAUCGCAUCCUGGGGCUGUAGUCGGUCCCAAGGGUUGGGCUGUUCGCCCAUUAAAGCGGUACGCGAGCUGGGUUCAGAACGUCGUGAGACAGUUCGGUCCCUAUCCGUCGUGGGCGUAGGAAAUUUGAGAGGAGCUGUCCUUAGUACGAGAGGACCGGGAUGGACAUACCUCUGGUGUACCAGUUGUCGUGCCAACGGCAUAGCUGGGUAGCUAUGUGUGGACGGGAUAAGUGCUGAAAGCAUCUAAGCAUGAAGCCCCCCUCAAGAUGAGAUUUCCCAACUUCGGUUAUAAGAUCCCUCAAAGAUGAUGAGGUUAAUAGGUUCGAGGUGGAAGCAUGGUGACAUGUGGAGCUGACGAAUACUAAUCGAUCGAAGACUUAAUCAA
RNAcentral lists this ribosomal RNA (2921 nucleotides) under Staphylococcus aureus SCOA6009. Its description in RNAcentral is "bacterial LSU rRNA". It matches the Rfam family "Bacterial large subunit ribosomal RNA". The record is from RNAcentral. Lineage: Bacteria; Bacillati; Bacillota; Bacilli; Caryophanales; Staphylococcaceae.